GAUGAUCUUGACAUUGUUGCUUGGUUGGACUCCCGUUCACGCUGCGCCUAAAUAUGCGUCUUUGUCAUUAUCAGUAGUGCUUCCGGAGUGAGGGCAGUGCUGGUGUUGAAGAGUCGGCCCUUGAUCCUUAAUCUGCACAGUGCACAUUCUUUCGUCGAUCGGCCACCAACCGAUCACGUGCCGGUAGCCAUCAAGAAUAAUACUUAAAUAAAUUCAACCAGUUACUUGGGAUGGCCCCUUUAAUUCAUUCAGCAUUUUGCUUUUCGAUUCAAACAAAUUGUGCUAAAUUGGAAUCUAAAGUUCAUCAGUCGAUCAAUUAUUCAAUUAUUCAUCUUACUAUAUUUACAGGCUACAUUGUCCUCGUAUCUGCCAGAACGCCAGAAAAUUUGUUUCUCACGUCAUCCUACACCAAACAAAAACGACAUCCCGCAGUCAUGCUUUACAGCUUUCGUUCAUUUCAUCUCACCCUACAGCAGCCGCCGCAGCCGCUCACCAACAACAUCCGAAAAGGUGACAACCAAAGUCGGUUUUAUUUGUAAUCGUUUAGCCAAAUCGAGAGCUCCUAAAUGGACUGGAGCUGUUGGAUGACGAUGGAUGAUGGUCUCACAAAGGGGACCCCAGCUACAUACAGAGCUGAAAAAGAAUGUCCCUCCUGAUCCGGCAGAAGCAGUAACACAUUUUUAUCUUGCACCCAGUGAAGAGGCUCGGAUAAGCCGAAAUUUAUAACGAUCUGCCUUAUCCACAGCUUAAAGCGGACGUAACGAACACAAAGCUCCCACAGGAAGGCACUAAAAAG
Aedes albopictus (Asian tiger mosquito) is the source of this 796-nucleotide long non-coding RNA. RefSeq lists it as uncharacterized. The transcript is spliced from 2 exons. Lineage: Eukaryota; Metazoa; Arthropoda; Insecta; Diptera; Culicidae. The record is from RefSeq and is a predicted model, not a curated record.